AGUUCUCCGUGGGCUUCCGCCGCCGCCAAGCCGGAGUUCGCGGUGCCGCCGCGCUCUGUCGGUGCGCCCAGUUCGGCCGCCGCCAUGGGGAUCCUGGAGAAGAUCUCUGAGAUCGAGAAGGAGAUCGCUCGGACGCAGAAGAACAAGGCCACCGAGUAUCACCUGGGCCUGCUGAAAGCAAAACUUGCCAAGUACCGGGCCCAGCUGUUGGAACCGUCCAAAUCGGCCUCGUCCAAAGGGGAGGGCUUCGAUGUCAUGAAGUCGGGCGACGCCCGCGUGGCGCUGAUUGGAUUUCCCUCUGUGGGGAACUCUGAUGCAAGUGUUCGCAUCCAGAUCCUUCCUGGCUCACUUCUCGGUUCCUUGGCAGCACAUUCUUCCACAUCUGGCUCCGUCUCAGACUGUAAGGUCGAUACCUCCUUGCACAUCUCCUUACCCCUCCCUGGAAACCAGGUUCCUGUGUCCACCGAGACAGGCCUUGAGGCCUCCAAGGAACAGAGGGGCCUUCUGCUGCCUGAACCCCCCAGGCAUGGCCAGAGGCGCCUUUUCCAGCUAUUCUCUUCACACCCAUCCAAAUUACCAAGCCAAGUGGGGGAGACCUCUCUGCUGCCUGCACCGUCCACCUUCUUGAGUCUGAUGACCUCCACAGCCAGCGAAGCUGCGUCCUAUGAGUUCACAACCCUGACAUGUAUCCCUGGGGUCAUUGAAUACAAAGGAGCCAACAUCCAGCUCCUGGACCUUCCUGGAAUCAUUGAAGGCGCAGCACAAGGGAAAGGCCGUGGCCGGCAGGUGAUUGCUGUGGCACGCACAGCUGACGUUGUCAUCAUGAUGCUGGACGCCACCAAGGGAGAGGUGCAGAGGUCUCUGCUGGAGAAGGAGCUGGAGUCGGUUGGCAUCCGCCUCAACAAGCACAAGCCCAACAUCUACUUCAAGCCCAGGAAAGGUGGCGGCGUCUCCUUUAAUUCGACAGUCACGCUGACCCAGUGCUCGGAAAAGCUGGUGCAACUGAUCCUGCACGAAUACAAGAUCUUUAAUGCAGAAGUGCUCUUCCGAGAAGACUGCUCCCCAGAUGAGUUCAUCGAUGUCAUCGUGGGCAACCGCGUGUACAUGCCCUGCUUGUAUGUUUAUAACAAAAUCGACCAGAUCUCAAUGGAAGAAGUGGACCGCCUGGCCCGGAAACCCAACAGUGUGGUCAUCAGCUGUGGCAUGAAGCUGAACCUCGACUACUUGCUGGAGAUGCUUUGGGAGUACUUGGCCCUGACCUGCAUCUACACCAAGAAGAGAGGACAGAGGCCAGACUUCACGGACGCCAUCAUCCUCCGGAAAGGGGCCUCCGUGGAGCAUGUGGGUCCUCAGGGCCACGCCAUUGAGGUGUUCCGUCAAGGAGAGCUGCUGCUCUGGGCACUUCUGUAUUGUUACUCCCCCUUGUGCUUCCCCAGGGCUGGCCUAGGGCUCAGGUUGCCACCUUGUGUGUCCUUGGUCCCUGCUGGCUUCCUGUCCCCCCUUCAGCCCCCAGCAUGACCUGCCCCUCCCUACUCUCACAUCCUGCCCCCUAGCCUGGGAAUGGCUUUGAAUGCUUUCUGCACUCAACACGUUUAUUGAGCACCAACAGUAAACAAAAUAGCCCCAGUUCCUGCCAGAAUUGGGGUCCUUUGGGGUCAACAGAUGUGAAACUGCCAGUGCCAGAGCUAAGCACUCGCACGUAAGGUGAGUGCAGUGAAGGAAGGGGAUGGGGAGCAGCAAGGGGCGGCGCCAAAUCUACACAGAGAAGCCAGGCCUUGGAGGAGGGGACCUGACGGCGACGAGUGGGGGUGGGGGAGCCCCAGGCAGGGGAGCAGGUGGACGAAAGCCCUGAGGUGGAGGGGCUCUGCACAGGCUCAGCGAGGGAGGCUGCAUUUCUGUCUGGAGCUUUGUGACCCUGCGCCAUCUUUUAUGAAGAUCGUCGGGCCCUGCAGGAGCAGGUGAUGCCUGAGGACCUGGGCCCAUGUUCCAGGUCACACACUUGUCUUCUUGGGCUUUUGUUUUCCUCGUUUUGUUUUCCUCCAGCUCGUUUCUUCUCGGGGUCUGUGCUGUGGACACUGGUUGCUGGGGCUGCAGUUUGGCUCAUACAUUCAUUCAUUUGGCAAGGCCAGCCUGAGACCUCUGCCAGCCUAGAGGUGCUGGUACAAAUGGCAGGGCUUGGCCUUGAAGACUAGCAUGCUGGGCAGAAGCCAAGGAGACCCCUCCCAGAUCCCUUCAGUCGCUCACAAGGAGCUCCAUGUGGGAGUCCCUGUCCCUGGGCCUGUUUCAGAACCCAUGAUUGCAGUGUCUUCUACUGGGGCCCAGCAGACUGUUGACACUGGUGCCCAUGAGUACUGGCCCUCCCUGGGGUUACCCUGCACCUUCUGUGGCCACUUUCUUCAACCCUCUCAGGCCCUUGGCCACUUACCCAAGAAGAUGUGGGGCUUCAGCCACGCCCAGGAAGAAAAGCAGGAGAUUGCGGAAGAAGGGCCCUGCAGGCAGUGGGAAUGACAGGUGCUGAGGCCCAGAGGCAGGAGUGAGUGUGAGGACUGCUGGCUGUCUGCUGUCAGCUGGCACCAGGGUGCUGGACCCAAGGGUGAGGAGGGGCCGGCAGGAGGGGAGGAGCUUUGGAGGCCUUGCUCCAGAGUCUGGACUUUGUCCCAGAGAGGCCUGGUCUUCGGUGGUUCCUGCGUGCCCUCCCCCGCAGGUGCCUCCCUCCCAGGACAUCCAACUGUCCCAAGUGCUGCGGAGCAUCCGUAAAGGCUGACCUGAAUGCUGACACCAGGGACCCAAGUGCCACCGCAUCCACCGGUCGCUGGCCAGCCAGUUCAAGUACGCCCUGGUGUGGGGUACCAGCACCAAGUACAGCCCACAGCGGGUGGGCCUGACCCACACCAUGGAGCACGAGGAUGUCAUCCAGAUCGUCAAGAA
Molecule: RNA transcript, 2928 nt
Organism: Equus quagga
Lineage: Eukaryota; Metazoa; Chordata; Mammalia; Perissodactyla; Equidae
Gene: DRG2
Gene name: developmentally regulated GTP binding protein 2
Exons: 16
Source: RefSeq, a predicted model, not a curated record